This 1387-nucleotide ribosomal RNA is filed under the name uncultured bacterium. RNAcentral's name for it is "bacterial SSU rRNA". It matches the Rfam family "Bacterial small subunit ribosomal RNA". The record is from RNAcentral.
AGAGUUUGAUCCUGGCUCAGGAUGAACGCUGGCGGCGUGCCUAACACAUGCAAGUCGAGCGAGAAUAUCUUAACUGAUUCUUCGGAUGAUUGUAAGGAAGGAAUAGCGGCGGACGGGUGAGUAACGCGUAGGCAACCUGCCUCUCACAGAGGGAUAGCCACUGGAAACGGUGAUUAAAACCUCAUAACGCCACUCUGAGACAUCUCAGAAUGGCCAAAGAUUUAUCGGUGAGAGAUGGGCAUGCGUCUGAUUAGCUGGUUGGCGGGGUAACGGCCCUCCAAGGCGACGAUCAGUAGCCGACCUGAGAGGGUGAUCGGCCACAUUGGAACUGAGACACGGUCCAAACUCUUACGGGAGGCAGCAGUGGGGAAUAUUGCACAAUGGGCGAAAGCCUGAUGCAGCAACGCCGCGUGAAGGAUGAAGGCCUUCGGGUCGUAAACUUCUGUCCUUGGGGAAGAAGAACUGACGGUACCCUUGGAGGAAGCCCCGGCUAACUACGUGCCAGCAGCCGCGGUAAUACGUAGGUUGCAAGCGUUGUCCGGAUUUACUGGGUGUAAAGGGCGUGUAGGCGGAGAUGCAAGUUGGGAGUGAAAUCCCGGGGCUCAACCCCGGAACUGCUUUCAAAACUGUAUCCUCUUGAGUGUCGGAGAGGCAAGCGGAAUUCCUAGUGUAGCGGUGAAAUGCGUAGAUAUUAGGAGGAACACCAGUGGCGAAGGCGGCUUACUGGACGAUAACUGACGUUGAGGCUCGAAAGCGUGGGGAGCAAACAGAAGUAGAUACCCUGGUAGUCCACGCCGUAAACGAUCCUAAAAGGGUGUCGGGCAGCAAAGCUGUUCGGUGCCGCAGCAAACGCAAUAAGUAGUCCACCUGGGGAGUACGUUCGCAAGAAUGAAACUCAAAGGAAUUGACGGGGACCCGCACAAGCGGUGGAGCAUGUGGUUUAAUUCGAAGCAACGCGAAGAACCUUUCCUAGUCUUGACAUCCCGAUGACCGGUCCUUAAUCGGAUCUUUUCUUUGGAACAUCGGAGACAGGUGGUGCAUGGUUGUCGUCAGCUCGUGUCGUGAGAUGUUGGGUUAAGUCCCGCAACGAGCGCAACCCUUACUAUUAGUUGCUACGCAAGAGCACUCUAAUAGGACUGCCGUUGACAAAACGGAGGAAGGUGGGGAUGACGUCAAAUCAUCAUGCCCUUUAUGACCUGGGCUACACACGUACUCCAAUGGCGUUUAACAAAGAGCAGCAAAACCGCGAGGUGGAGCAAAUCUCCAAAAAACGUCUCAGUUCAGAUUGCAGGCUGCAACUCGCCUGCAUGAAGUCGGAAUUGCUAGUAAUCGUAGGUCAGCAUACUACGGUGAAUAAGAUCCCGGGCCUUGCACACACCGCCCGUCA